AACGAACGCUGGCGGCACGUUUUAAGCAUGCAAGUCGAAUGGCAGCAGGGGCAACUCUGUGAGAAUGGCGAACGGGUGAGUAACACGUAGGUGAUCUGCCUUGAGGAUGGGGAUAGCCUGUGGAAACACAGGGUAAUACCGAAUGAGCUGACGAGACUUUGGUUUUGUUAGUAAAGGUGCUACGGCACCGCCUUGAGAGGAGCCUGCGGCUGAUUAGCUAGUUGGUGGGGUAAGAGCUUACCAAGGCGACGAUCAGUAGCCGGCCUGAGAGGGUGUACGGCCACACUGGAACUGAGACACGGUCCAGACUCCUACGGGGGGCAGCAGCUAAGAAUCUUCCGCAAUGGGCGAAAGCCUGACGGAGCGAUGCCGCGUGAUCGAUGAAAGUCGAGAGAUUGUAAAGAUCUUUUCUACAUGAGGAAUAAGUCUGGGAGGGAAUGCCCGGAUGAUGACGUUAGUGUAGGAAUAAGCCCCGGCUAAUUACGUGCCAGCAGCCGCGGUAA
Molecule: ribosomal RNA, 503 nt
Filed under: uncultured bacterium
Lineage: Bacteria
Description: partial 16S ribosomal RNA
Rfam family: Bacterial small subunit ribosomal RNA
Source: RNAcentral